Nothoprocta perdicaria is the source of this 211-nucleotide long non-coding RNA. RefSeq lists it as uncharacterized. NCBI's taxonomy places the organism in Eukaryota, Metazoa, Chordata, Aves, Tinamiformes, Tinamidae. The record is from RefSeq and is a predicted model, not a curated record. The transcript is spliced from 3 exons.
CGGCAGCAGCAUCCCCGGACGGCGCCUCCGCGCCGGGGGCUCCGCGCUAGGAGGAAAAGGAUUUGUCAAUACUACAAUUCACUUGAACAUCAAGCUCUACAGAGACAGUAAGACAUCAGGAAAUGAUGGCAUCUUAGGAAAACAAGCAGAUUCGCUAAUGCUGACUUGGGCUUAAAAAAUCAACUAUGGAAGAUACUGAGGUACAUUUGCU